CAGCAGCCGCGGGAAUACGUAGGUGGCGAGCGUUGUCCGGAAUUAUUGGGCGUAAAGCGUGCGCAGGCGGCCCGUUAAGGCAGGUGUGAAAUCCCUGGGCUCAACCUAGGAAUUGCGCUUGUGACUGGCGGGCUCGAGUACGGUAGAGGGGGGUGGAAUUCCUGGUGUAGCAGUGAAAUGCGUAGAGAUCAGGAGGAACACCGAUGGCGAAGGCAGCCCCCUGGGCCUGUACUGACGCUCAUGCACGAAAGCGUGGGGAGCAAAUGGGAUUAGAUACCCCCGUAGUCCCUGUCUCUUAUAC
This 301-nucleotide ribosomal RNA is filed under the name uncultured bacterium. RNAcentral's name for it is "partial 16S ribosomal RNA". It matches the Rfam family "Bacterial small subunit ribosomal RNA", at positions 509 to 807 of the family's 1533-position model. The record is from RNAcentral.